UACGUAGGUGGCAAGCGUUGUCCGGAUUUACUGGGCGUAAAGGGCGUGCAGGCGGUCUGUUAAGUUCAGGGUGAAAGCUCCCGGCUCAACUGGGAGAGGUCCUUGGAUACUGGCAGACUUGAGGGAGGUAGAGGAGAGUGGAAUUCCCGGUGUAGUGGUGAUAUGCGUAGAUAUCGGGAGGAACACCAGUGGCGAAGGCGGCUCUGUGGGCCUUUCCUGACGCUGAGACGCGAAAGCGUGGGGAGCGAACCGG
RNAcentral lists this ribosomal RNA (253 nucleotides) under uncultured bacterium. RNAcentral's name for it is "partial 16S ribosomal RNA". It matches the Rfam family "Bacterial small subunit ribosomal RNA", at positions 524 to 776 of the family's 1533-position model. The record is from RNAcentral.